GUGCUUGCUUUGGCAGUACAUAUACUAGAAUUGGAGCAAUACAGAGAAGAUUAGCAUGGCCCCUGUGCAAG
RNAcentral lists this small nuclear RNA (71 nucleotides) under Cricetulus griseus (Chinese hamster). Lineage: Eukaryota; Metazoa; Chordata; Mammalia; Rodentia; Cricetidae. The record is from RNAcentral.